AACGGCGAGUGAAGCGGCAGGAGCUCAAAUUUGAAAUCUGGGGUCCCCGACCUCCGAGUUGUAAUUUGGAGAGGCAUCUUCGGGGGGGAGCGCCGGCCCAUGUUCCUUGGAACAGGACGUCGCAGAGGGUGAGAAUCCCGUGCCAGGCCGGCUCCCUCCUCCCGCGUGAAGGGCCUUCGACGAGUCGAGUUGUUUGGGAAUGCAGCUCCAAGUGGGUGGUAAGUUUCAUCUAAAGCUAAAUACCGGCGGGAGACCGAUAGCGCACAAGUAGAGUGAUCGAAAGAUGAAAAGCACUUUGAAAAUAGAGUCAAAAAGUACGUGAAAUUGUUGAAAGGGAAGCGCUUGAGACCAGACUCAGGCCCGGGCAAACACCGCGCCCCCCGGGGCCGUGCAAUUGCCUGGGGCUGGGCCAGCAUCAGUCGGCGUGGCGGGACAAAGGCGCGGGGAAUGUGGCUCCCCUCGGGGAGUGUUAUCAGCCCCGCGCUCAAUGCCGCCGACGCCGACUGAGGACCGCGCCUCGGCUAGGAUGCUGGCUUAAUGGCCUUCAGCGACCCGUCUUGAAACACGGACCAAGGAGUCUAACAUCUAUGCGAGUGUUUGGGCGCCAAACCCUUGCGCGGAAUGAAAGUGAGCGGAGGUGGGAACCCCCCAGCGGGGCGCACCAUCGACCGAUCCUGAUGUCUUC
Molecule: ribosomal RNA, 685 nt
Filed under: Helvella capucinoides
Lineage: Eukaryota; Fungi; Ascomycota; Pezizomycetes; Pezizales; Helvellaceae
Description: partial large subunit ribosomal RNA
Rfam family: Eukaryotic large subunit ribosomal RNA
Source: RNAcentral